GUAUAAUGGCGGCGUUUUGGUGCCCGCGUCCAUGUCCAUGGAUGCAGUUAAACGGGAAACACAAGGCAGCCAGCGCUCAUCGGCAGCGCGGCGGCCAAGGUGUGCUGCCCCCGCAACGGUACGCAAGCGCCGCGCCCGGAUUUCCGGUUCGCGCGGCAGGCUGGAUCGACAACCACUGUGCAGCAGCGUCUGCGCCGGAAGGUGAUCCCGUCCCGUCUUGCCAGCCCGGAUACCGGCCAAUCCAGGUGGAAGCGC
This 255-nucleotide non-coding RNA is filed under the name Massilia sp. Root351. The record is from RNAcentral. Lineage: Bacteria; Pseudomonadati; Pseudomonadota; Betaproteobacteria; Burkholderiales; Oxalobacteraceae. RNAcentral also lists the same sequence under 1 other name.